RNAcentral lists this long non-coding RNA (989 nucleotides) under Marmota monax (woodchuck). Lineage: Eukaryota; Metazoa; Chordata; Mammalia; Rodentia; Sciuridae. The record is from RNAcentral.
UUUUUAAAGAAUUAAUAAUAUUCCUGCUGGAUGUAGUGGCACAAUCCUGUAAUCUCUGGGAUUUGGAGGCUGAGGCAUGAGGAUCACAAGUUUAAAGCCAGCCUCAGCAAUUUAGCAAGACCCUGUCUCAAAAAGUAAAAAAGGUCUGGGGAUGUGGUUCAGUAAUUAAGGGCCCCUGGAUUAUCAAAGAAAAAAAAGUUAAUAUUCCAGAAUAUGGAUACCCAUAAUUUUAUUUAUUCCCCCACUGAUAAGCACUUAGUUUAUACCCAUGUUUGUAAUAAUCUUUAUGCUGUUUUUGUUUUAAAUUACAAAUAUGUGUUCAUUGUAAAUUUUUUUUCUUAAAUAUUGAUAGAGGCAAAAAAAAUAAAAAUUGUUAAAGACAAAAGUUCACCACAUCCCUACCAGUUGGAGAUAACUCCUUUAUCUUGUCAGUUGCACACCAUGGAGUGCUUACUAUAAGCCAGAUAUCACACAAAGCAAUUCAAGGAAUGGAAGUCUGAGGUUUGAAGAAACAGCUCUCCAGCGAGGCUUGCCCAAGGUCACACAGCUAGAAACAGUGGCACAGCCAGGAAUUGGGCCCAACUUUAUCUGGUUCCAAGGCUCUCCUGGCCACUUACUGUUAACAUUCCAGUAGGUUUCCUUCCAAUCUUUUUUCCUAUACAACAGGACAAAAAUAUUUACAUAUAAAUAUUCAUGGUUUUUCCUCCUCCAGAUUUAGUUCUAAGGAAUUUUAGGAGGGCAGAGGGAAAGGGACAGACCUAAGUGAAAGCCUGAUAGCAGCUGGAGGAGUUGCCUGCGGUCCCACUCAGGAAAAGCAGGGGGAGAAGUGAGCUGGCGGGGCUGGUCAGGAAUUUGGAGAACAGAGAGCAGAGGAGCUUGGGGAGAUACUCUGAAAGCUUGGAAGACUUUGGAGGAUUUUGAAAAAACAUCUUGUGAGGUGUCCCUUUGUAAGCCCUUGCAGCAAUCUUUUUUUUUUUUUUUUCUUUUCC